AAGUCGUAACAAGGUUUCCGUAGGUGAACCUGCGGAAGGAUCAUUGUCGAAACCUGCAUAGCAGAACACCUUGUGAACAAGUACCUACAAUGUGGCUUUUUGGGUUUCAAGCUUUUAGUUUGAGACUCCGGAAGUCUUGCUACCAUGUGUUCAUGAUUUCCGUUUAAAGGAAUCAUGGACGCAUUGGGAGCGCAUUAACAAACCCCCGGCACAACAUGUGCCAAGGAAACCAAAACCUAAGAUGGCCAGUGCAUUGACACCUCGUUUACGGUGUGUGCUUUUGCGGUGGCUUCUUUGUAAUUAUAAACGACUCUCGGCAACGGAUAUCUCGGCUCACGCAUCGAUGAAGAACGUAGCAAAAUGCGAUACUUGGUGUGAAUUGCAGAAUCCCGUGAACCAUCGAGUUUUUGAACGCAAGUUGCGCCUGAAGCCAUUUGGCAGAAGGCACGUCUGCCUGGGCGUCACGCAUCAAAACGCUCCCAUCAUCCUCCCUUUAAAGGACGGAUGCGUCAUGGGGCGGAGAUUGGUCUCCUGUGCUGUUUGUGUAGUUGGCCUAAAUGAGAGUCCCAUCGAGAUGGACGCAUGACUAGUGGUGGUUGAUAACACAGUCGUCUCGUGUUGUGCGUUGUGAACUUGGAGGGAUCAACUCUUUGAGCACCCCAUUGUUUUGUCUUAGGAUGAUGCUUCGAUCGCGACCCCAGGUCAGGCGGGACUACCCGCUGAGUUUAA
Molecule: ribosomal RNA, 729 nt
Filed under: Gaillardia pulchella
Lineage: Eukaryota; Viridiplantae; Streptophyta; Magnoliopsida; Asterales; Asteraceae
Description: eukaryotic LSU rRNA
Rfam family: 5.8S ribosomal RNA (bases 309-464)
Source: RNAcentral